GAAGGAUGCAAGCGUUAUCCGGAUUCAUUGGGUUUAAAGGGAGCGUAGGUGGUCUUGUAAGUCAGUGGUGAAAUCUUCCAGCUUAACUGGGAAACUGCCAUUGAUACUGCAGGACUUGAGUACAGAUGCUGUGGGCGGAAUAUGACAUGUAGUGGUGAAAUACAUAGAGAUGUCAUAGAACACCGAUUGCGAAGGCAGCUCACAAAACUGUAACUGACACUGAGGCUCGAAAGUGCGGGGAUCAAACAGGAUUAGAUACCCUGGUAGUCCGCACUGUAAACGAUGAUUACUCGCUGUUGGGGGGCAACUUCCAGUGGCUGAGCGAAAGCGAUAAGUAAUCCACCUGGGGAGUACGCCGGCAACGGUG
RNAcentral lists this ribosomal RNA (367 nucleotides) under uncultured bacterium. RNAcentral describes it as "bacterial SSU rRNA". It matches the Rfam family "Bacterial small subunit ribosomal RNA", at positions 527 to 896 of the family's 1533-position model. The record is from RNAcentral.